Molecule: small nucleolar RNA, 77 nt
Organism: Molossus molossus (Pallas's mastiff bat)
Lineage: Eukaryota; Metazoa; Chordata; Mammalia; Chiroptera; Molossidae
Product: small nucleolar RNA SNORD112
Exons: 1
Source: RefSeq, a predicted model, not a curated record
UGGACCUGUGAAGAGAAAGUGUCUAUGAACAAAAGAUCAUGAUUAAUCCAGUUCUGCACAACAUCCGAAGGUCCAUU